UCUCUGUUUUGCUUUUGCAGGCUCCUUCCAAAAGGGUGACUGUGGAAAGUAAGGAUGAAAAUCCAUUUCGCAAGGUGCUGGGCACCCCAGCUCGGGCAUCCAUUAAGAACUCCAGUGGAACUGGAGCACCUGGCAACAGGGGGAAUGUUGCAGCAUCUCCAACAUCGGCAGUCCCUCACAGAACAGGCUUGCUGGAGAGCCGUGAAAAGAGGAAAAGAGCACAACCUCCAAGUUCAGAAAUGAGUGAAGAUUAUCCCAAAGAGAAUGAUUCUUCGACG
Molecule: non-coding RNA, 278 nt
Organism: Meleagris gallopavo (turkey)
Lineage: Eukaryota; Metazoa; Chordata; Aves; Galliformes; Phasianidae
Source: RefSeq, a predicted model, not a curated record